AUAUAUACUUAAUAAUAUAAAAAUGGUUAAUAUAUUUCCAUUUUUUUGCAUUCCUUGCUGAAGUAUAUUCAAUAAAGAAGUGAGAACUAAUAACCUAGUCCAGUCUUUCUGCAAUGAAAGCCUAACGUAAUUAUACAACGAAUGUUAACAACUGUGCAGACUUCGAUUUUAGUUUUACUUUUACGUAGUGAGAAUGAGUGGACUACUUUUAGUUUAACAACUGCUAAUGCAGUAAUGUUCAACUUACAUGGUGUAGUACCAAUGGAGAUGUCCUGAUCUUCUCUAUGCAUACAUUUCAAUGGAAAGCCCAUCUCUACAGGUGUAUGUACUCCUUUGAAAUAUGAAGACAUCUUUAAGAAAAGCAAUUUUGUUUUUUGCUGUUAUAUGGAUAUUUACAACUCGUACUCAAUGCAGAAAGGAGGCAAAAG
Long non-coding RNA from Limulus polyphemus (Atlantic horseshoe crab), 428 nucleotides. RefSeq lists it as uncharacterized. NCBI's taxonomy places the organism in Eukaryota, Metazoa, Arthropoda, Merostomata, Xiphosura, Limulidae. The transcript has 3 exons. The record is from RefSeq and is a predicted model, not a curated record.